Long non-coding RNA from Ruditapes philippinarum (Manila clam), 517 nucleotides. RefSeq lists it as uncharacterized. The transcript is spliced from 3 exons. Lineage: Eukaryota; Metazoa; Mollusca; Bivalvia; Venerida; Veneridae. The record is from RefSeq and is a predicted model, not a curated record.
UUGAGUUUUUACUCAUUGUGAGAAAAACGCUUGUAAAGUCACGCGAGUUUUCAUGUCUUAAUUUUUAGGGUUUCCCUUCAAAACAGAGUAUCUUUGAAAGUAGAAAGAAUAAAAUAAGCUAGAAAGAAAUCAAAAAAUACUUUUUGAACAGCCCUUCUCAGCUUCCACGAUAAAGAUUUCCCAAAAAUCUAUAUUUAGAAUAAAUACACUGUGUAAACUUAGGAGUCAGGUCAGCGAGUAAACACAUGUAGAUUCACUACCUUUUACGUCAUGUUACUGCAUAUUUGGAGGUUUAAAUAAAUAUAAAGGUCUGACAGCCAACAUACAUUUAAGAUCUUCAACUUAGUUCAUCAGAGUUUUGAAGUAGAUAAUAUGAUUAUCCAGCAUGUUGGAGCCAUAUUCUUCAAGGAAAUGUACUUAAGACAUAGAUAGUUCACCUAUUUGCUGAUGAAUAUACUAAACUAUUGUUGGAAAUGAGGCACAAUGUGUGACAUAGUUCUAUGCCCUAUUGAUCACC